CCCAAACUGGGUGUUCACGAGGACGCAGAGGAAGACAGCCCCCGCUGCUGUCUCCAGCCAGAGCACGGGGAGAGGCGCGGCUCCAGGAAACAUUUCAAGGACCCUGGGAAAUGGGUGAUCUCUGAAUGUGAAAAAUCUUCAGGAGACUGGAAGUGUUUUGAAGUUGAAGGUUAUGGUUCUUUCUCAUUUUGUUUCAAAACAGGACCCCCAUUUCCCUUAAUGUAGGAUUGGAGGAGACAACAAGAAGAGGAAAGGGGUGUCAAGGUCAGAGCCGCCUAGAAGGCGACAAGAAGCAGAAGCGCAGGCCUGCGAGACGCUCUUCAGAGUGACUUCGCUGUGGGCUGCGGAUGGCAACAGAAGGAACUCGGCAUCCACCGGCCACAUUCCCCUCCCCGGAGCGGAGGACACAGCCCAGUUCCUUCAGGCAGUGGCUCCGGCCAGCUCCGCCCCACAGGGAAGGAGCGCGCAGCUGCCACACACCGCAGGCGGCGCUGACGGACUCGGCCUUCCCGGAGCGCAGGCGUCUGGGGGGCGCCGCCCUCGUCGCCGUCGGGAGCCCGGCAGGCCCGCGGCUUUCUGCCUGGUUCUCCCGCCUCUGCACGCCUCGCCUUCAGGACUCCGCCUCGCCUUCCUCUUUUCUGUGGGGAGACUCACGGGGCCGUCUGUCUGGACGAUGUGUGCACAUUUCUUACCACGAUUCCUCUGCACACCAGGUCCCGGCACAGCUGAAUUGUGCGGGCAGCGAAGGGGCCUCACGGGGACCGCUCAGCUCCCUGAGGGCGCAGCCCACCUGGUCCGGGGGCGAAGAAUGAACUUCCGCGGUUUUUAAUGACCCAGUUUGUGGCACGGCACAUGUUGAAAAGGCCUCCCUAUUCCCUGAGACACAAUUGUGGAAUUACACCAUUAAUAACCUACAACGGCCUCUAAGUGUUCAAGUGAAAGGAAGAGACACACAUCUCUCACUUUAAAUUGAAAGCUAGAGAUGAUUAAGCUUAGUGCGGAAGGCCUGUUCAAAGUUGAGACAGGCUGAAAGCAAGGCCUUUUGCACCCAGGAGUUAGCCCAGUUGUGAAUGCAAAGAAAAACCUCUUAAAGGAAAUUAAAAGUGCUGCUUCCGUGAACACGUGAAUGACCAGAAAGUGAAACAGCCUUAUUGCUGAUACGAAGAAAGUUUGAGUGGUCUGGAUACAAGAUAAAACCAGCCACAACAUUCCCUCAAGCCAAAGCCUACUCCAGAGUAAAGCCCCAACUCUCUCCAGUUCCACAAAGGCUAAGAGGAGUGAGAAAGCUACAGAAGAAAAGUUUCAAAGUGGCAGAGGUUGGCUCAUGAGUUUUAAGGAAAUAAACAUGUCCAUAACAUAAAAGUGCAAGAUGAAGCAACAAGUGCUGAUGGAGAAGCUGCAGCAAGUUAUCCAGAGACCUAGUGAAGGUGGCCUGCAAAACAACAAAAGAAGCUCAUCUGCUUCUUGCCCAGGACGAUGUUUCCAGCUUCAUCUUUGAUCUUAACCCUCCCGGAGAUGUACUUGGUUUCCUGACAGCCGCUGCAAUUCACAGUCUUUACGGUGCCAUCUGGGUACUCCCUCCUCUUCAACUGGGUCAUGUGGAUUUCUUUCUGCCCAUUGGUGAGCACAAUGGUUUUGUCGCCAUUCCCGGGAGAGGAGAAACACGUGGUAAGGUGGCCUGCACCAGGGCCGAUGCUGCCAGCGUGGAGGCCAGUGGGCGGUGGGGGAGCACAAAAUAAUGCCCCCACCCAGGUCUGGAGCCCUCCUUCCAAAUCUCGUUAGAUGAGGGUGCAGAAGGCCACGGGCAGGGGCAGGAAAGGUGCACGGGGGGCUCAGGGAAUUGACAGAAACUCAGUGUGGGUGAGAGAGGGCAGGUGGGGAGGGCCAGGAGGCAGGGCGGGAGGUCAGUCGCAUCUGCUCAGCUGCAGGCUGAAGCCUGUGCUGACAGCUGGCUCUGAUGGUGAGAGGGACAGCAGGGUUGACACAGGGAGUGACAGAGACACACGUUGAAUCAUUUCAGAAAAGAUUCUGACUGCCAUGAGGAAGCUAUGGGAGUCUAUUGUAAUUGCCCAGGAGAGAAAUGGUGAGGGGGGAGAUGGCAGAACUCAGAGAAAGGGUGGAGGUGAGGCAGCGAGGAGACACAGCCCACAGCGCUUGGUGUUCACUUUGAUAUCAGGAAAGAAAGGGAAGGUCUAAACUUCCCACGCUUUCCCUCAGGCAGCUGGGUGGAUCUUUACUUUCUGCACAAACCAGCAUUGAAAUUGCAGCUCUGAUGAUCUCUUCCUUGGUGUGCCUUAAAUAUUUGCUUGCAUGUGUUCUGCAGUAGACUCGGGCUUCUAGACCACGUGGUCUGAGGUGAGCACUGAAGACUGGAGUGGUUUUUACGGUUAUAAUUCAAAGGCAGCUAACGUCGGUGAAGUCAAUACCUGAAAGUCCAUUUGAAACCCACAGUCUCUAUAAAGGGAUUCAAACCAAGGCCAUAAGACAAAACUUCUGGAGUCAACGACAUUAUUUUCUAUUUUUUUAUACAAGCACUUAAAUGUUUGCAAAAAUCUAAAUUAAUAUAAGGAAAUUAUUAAAUACACAAACAAAAACUGGGGAUGUUUCGGGUUCGCAUUGUCUGACAUUACUGACCUUUCCACCCUUACGAUUGUCCCAUCAGGAAAUAAGGUCUCUUCCUGUCCAUCCUUGAGAUGUUUCACUGUCCCGUCGGGAAACACAAUUUCUUUGGAGCCAUCGGGGUAGAAUUUUUCUGCAGAAUGCAGGUUUUACGUUUUUCAGCUGGAUAAUAAAUUGUACGAAAGAGUCAUAAUUCACCCUCUACGGUAUCCUCCAGGGAUGAUAACAGUGAUUUUCACCUUGCACUGGAGACAGAACCCUUGACGCAGAGGAACUCGCUGUGGAGCCUGCUGAAAUACUGCUCCACUGUGCCUAUUUCAUUAUAGGAACAGGAAUGUGAUUACAGUGCCUGCAUGUGGGGUUUUCUUCGGUGAGAAUCAAGUUAUACCCUGGAUUAUCGGGACAAAAGUGUUACCACCCUGGAGACCUUGCCUGGAAACCCUCCAGACUCCUCAACGUCUGUGUUUUCCAUCUGUGACCCCUGGACACACAGAGACAUGUAGUGGGAACCAGGGGGUCACAGCGUCUUCACAGCUCCUCAGCAUCAAGUGGGCCCCCAGCUACUGUCAUCUGCAGCUUUUCUUCCACAAACCCCUCAUCGGCUUUUACCAGUGAAGAUCGUCAUGGUAGCAGCAGCUGUCAGCUGCUGAGUACUUGCUGUGUGCCGAGCAAUACAUGCAUGGUAUAACUUUGGUCCUUAUAAUAACCUACAGGGGGCUUUCCCAGCCUCAGAACUAUUGACAGUUUGAGCAGGAUAACUCUGUGGGGUUGGGGGGGGGCUGUCCUGGGCAUUGGGAUGUUUAACAACAUCCCCAGGCCCCACUAUCUAGAUGCCAGUAGCACCCACACCACCCCCAGUUGUGACAACCAAAUAUGUCUCCAGACAUUGCAAAUGUCCUCAAGGCAGGGAGAAUAAUUGUCCUCAAGGCAGGGAGAAUAAUUGCCCCCAGUUGAGAAGC
Molecule: long non-coding RNA, 3578 nt
Organism: Rhinopithecus roxellana (golden snub-nosed monkey)
Lineage: Eukaryota; Metazoa; Chordata; Mammalia; Primates; Cercopithecidae
Exons: 6
Source: RefSeq, a predicted model, not a curated record